CAACCCCUGCUGUGCUCGCGAUCAAUCUGGCCUUGUUAUGAGCCAACACCAUAACACAGGGAGCCUUAACUCUGGCUACUGAGGUCGAGCCUUUUUAAAAUGGAGGACCGAACUAGUUAGGUGGGCACCCACCUGCUUGCGCAGGUUCAUUCGGGUCAGUACUAGCGGUAUGGUGGGGGGCAU
This 183-nucleotide non-coding RNA is filed under the name Bacillota bacterium. RNAcentral's name for it is "Firmicutes bacterium (anaerobic digester metagenome) 6S RNA". It matches the Rfam family "6S / SsrS RNA". Rfam says of the family: E. coli 6S RNA was the first non coding RNA to be sequenced, but its function was unknown until recently. It consists of 184 nucleotides that fold into an extended hairpin structure with a large single-stranded internal bulge. The 6S RNA specifically associates with RNA polymerase holoenzyme containing the sigma70 specificity factor. Lineage: Bacteria; Bacillati; Bacillota. The record is from RNAcentral.